This 405-nucleotide ribosomal RNA is filed under the name uncultured bacterium. RNAcentral's name for it is "bacterial SSU rRNA". It matches the Rfam family "Bacterial small subunit ribosomal RNA", at positions 976 to 1380 of the family's 1533-position model. The record is from RNAcentral.
AGCCCUUGACAUGUCUAGGACCGGUCGCAGAGACGCGUCCUUCUCUUCGGAGCCUAGAACACAGGUGCUGCAUGGCUGUCGUCAGCUCGUGUCGUGAGAUGUUGGGUUAAGUCCCGCAACGAGCGCAACCCUCGUCCUUAGUUGCCAUCAUUUAGUUGGGCACUCUAGGGAGACUGCCGGUGAUAAGCCGCGAGGAAGGUGGGGAUGACGUCAAGUCCUCAUGGCCCUUACGGGCUGGGCUACACACGUGCUACAAUGGCGGUGACAAUGGGCAGCGAACCAGCAAUGGGGAGCUAAUCUCAAAAAACCGUCUCAGUUCGGAUUGCACUCUGCAACUCGAGUGCAUGAAGUUGGAAUCGCUAGUAAUCGUGGAUCAGCAUGCCACGGUGAAUACGUUCCCGGGCC